Long non-coding RNA from Oncorhynchus keta (chum salmon), 754 nucleotides. RefSeq lists it as uncharacterized. Lineage: Eukaryota; Metazoa; Chordata; Actinopteri; Salmoniformes; Salmonidae. The record is from RefSeq and is a predicted model, not a curated record. The transcript is spliced from 3 exons.
GAUCUAGCCUGGUCAUGGGAGUGGGCUAUACAACACAGAUCUAGCCUGGUCAUGGGAGUGGACUAUACAACACAGAUCUAGCCUGGUCAUGGGAGUGGGCUAUACAAACAGAUCUAGCCUGGUCAUGGGAGUGGACUAUACAACACAGAUCUAGCCUGGUCAUGGGAGUGGACUAUACAACACAGAUCUAGCCUGGUCAUGGGAGUGGGCUAUACAACACAGAUCUAGCCUGGUCAUGGGAGUGGACUAUACAACACAAACAGAUCUAGCCUGGUCAUGGGAGUGGACUAUACAACACAGAUCUAGCCUGGUCAUGGGAGUGGACUAUACAACACAGAUCUAGCCUGGUCAUGGGAGUGGACUAUACAACACAGAUCUAGCCUGGUCAUGGGAGUGGGCUAUACAACACAAACAGAUCUAGCCUGGUCAUGGGAGUGGACUAUACAACACAAACAGAUCUAGCCUGGUCAUGGGAGUGGACUAUACAACACAGAUCUAGCCUGGUCAUGGGAGUGGGCUAUACAAACAGAUCUAGCCUGGUCAUGGGAGUGGGCUAUACAACACAAACAGACCUUUUCCACCAAUGCCUACAUAUCCACCAUCCUCUACCUCAGGACCCAGGUUUGGAGAAAACAACCAUUGGAACCAACCUCCUGCCUCCCAGCCACCUCUCCCCAGCAAGGCCCAGGUGUUCCCAAACCCAUCCCUCCCAAGCAUUAACCCCGACAGGGACACCCCUUCGAACAUAAUGGGG